ACAGCAGCCGCGGUAAUACGUAGGGGGCUAGCGUUAUCCGGAAUUACUGGGCGUAAAGGGUGCGUAGGUGGUUUCUUAAGUCAGAAGUGAAAGGCUACGGCUCAACCGUAGUAAGCUUUUGAAACUGAGAAACUUGAGUGCAGGAGAGGAGAGUAGAAUUCCUAGUGUAGCGGUGAAAUGCGUAGAUAUUAGGAGGAAUACCAGUUGCGAAGGCGGCUCUCUGGACUGUAACUGACACUGAGGCACGAAAGCGUGGGGAGCAAACAGGAUUAGAUACCCUGGUAGUCCACGCCGUAAACGAUGAGUACUAGCUGUCGGAGGUUACCCCCUUCGGUGGCGCAGCUAACGCAUUAAGUACUCCGCCUGGGAAGUACGCUCGCAAGAGUGAAACUUAAAGGAAUUGGCGGGGGA
Molecule: ribosomal RNA, 411 nt
Filed under: uncultured bacterium
Lineage: Bacteria
Description: bacterial SSU rRNA
Rfam family: Bacterial small subunit ribosomal RNA
Source: RNAcentral